ACCAUUUGAAUCAGGUAUAUGCGCGUGAAAUAAUAUAUAUUUAUUUAUUUCCAACACCACUAUACCUGUUCAGUAGAGUUACUCCCCUUUCCGCGGAAUUAUUACAUUGUUGUUACGGUGAAUUCGGGAGCGAUCUUUUGAGCAGUUUUACGGAUAUCGGUACGAUAAACACAGUAUUUGUUUGGCAGGAAGAGAAAUCGUCUCAUCUGGUAUCGAUGCAGAGAACAUGACUGACAAAGAUCUAUUUGACAGUGAUUAUGAUGGAAGUUCACAAAUACAUGAGCACAGUUACAUUGUGAUAUCGGAUUCUGAGGAGACACAACCACCUUCACCUUUUGGUUGACAGGAAUAUUCCAGUAAAAGACCAGUUGUUCAACAGCCUUUUUUUACAAACAAAUUCCUGGUGCUGCCAUUCCUAAUCAACCGACAUAUCAUAAUUCUGGAUAAGAAUUCAGAUUACUGGCUGCAUAUUCAACCGAAUUUUUGGGUCCUGCGUUGGUGGGGGGUAACGUGUUUCAGACCAGAAUCCUGCCGGACCAUCCAAUUGCAAGGACAUCUAACAUAGCUGAAAUGUAUCUGUAAUGAAUUAUUAAAAGUUUGGAUAAAAAAUGUGUUCUAUAAUCAUUAU
Long non-coding RNA from Dreissena polymorpha, 628 nucleotides. RefSeq lists it as uncharacterized. Lineage: Eukaryota; Metazoa; Mollusca; Bivalvia; Myida; Dreissenidae. The transcript has 5 exons. The record is from RefSeq and is a predicted model, not a curated record.